GGACCUAGCAAUACGGAUUGGCUAAAUGAUGAAAACCAUUAGAUUGUAUUGUUGUAUUUUUUUAUAAUUGUUGUAUUUUUUUUUUAAAUUGUUGUAUUAUCCUUUAAUUUGUUGUAUUGUUUCUUUUUUAUUCAAUCAAAAAAGCAUUCAAUAAUUGGACUAUUUAUUAAAAACAUUUGAGCAUUCCUCACAAAGAUUAAUUAAAAAUAAACCUUCAUUUAUUGCAAACAACACACAAAACAAACCAUACAUAAAAGCAUAAUAAUAAAAAAGACCUCGCAAUAAUUCCACAAAACACCACACACAAAAACAAAGCAUAAUU
Molecule: long non-coding RNA, 322 nt
Filed under: Prunus persica (peach)
Lineage: Eukaryota; Viridiplantae; Streptophyta; Magnoliopsida; Rosales; Rosaceae
Description: long non-coding RNA (PPER_LNC006462)
Source: RNAcentral